RNAcentral lists this transfer RNA (74 nucleotides) under Patescibacteria group bacterium. RNAcentral's name for it is "tRNA-Pro". The record is from RNAcentral.
CGGGGUGUAGUUCAGUUGGCUAGAACGCUACGUUCGGGACGUAGAGGUCGCUCGUUCAAGUCGAGUCACCCCGA